UUUUUUUAAAAUUCUACCAGACUGAUCAGCGCACAAAUUCUAGUCUUAUUUUGUCUUGAUUGUUUAUGUUGAUUGUCCCUCUCUCUCAUACAGCGAGGAAGGAGCUAGGAUGAAGAUAUGUUGAGUUUCAACUAGGUGCUACUUUGCAUUUGGAGCUCGUGUCUGAAGAGCUUUCGAACGAGCUUAAAGGUAAUCUUCUUAUUAAAGCUUAGUUUCUUGUUUUGCUGUUUAUAACUGAAACUUUUUAUGACCAAACAAUUUUUUUAACUGAUUUUCCAAGAGUUCACUGGUAUCCUCUUGAUUCUUACUUGGCUGUCAAGAACAAAGAUUAUGGAGGUAUGCAAGCGUUAUCCGGAAUGAUUGGGCGUAAAGUGUCUGUAGGUGGCUUUUUAAGUCUGUCGUCAAAUCUUAAGGCUCAACCCUGGGCAGGCGGUGGAAACUACCAAGUUAGAGUAUGAUAGGGGCAGAGGGAAUUUUCGAUGGAGCGGUGCAAUGCGUAGAUCUUGAAAAGAUUACCAACAGCAAAAACACUUUGUGGGGCCGACACUGACAUUGAGAGACGAAAGCUAGGGGAGCGAAUGGGAUUAGAUACUCCAGUAGUUCUAGCUUUACACGAUGGAUACUAGGUGCUAUGUGUAUCGACCUGUGUAGUGCUGUAGCUAACGCGUUAAGUAUAUCCCCCUGGGGCGUACGUUCGCAAGAAUGAAACACAAAGGAAUGGACGGGGGCCCGCAGGCGGUGGAGCAUGUGGUUUAAUUCGAUGCAAAGUAAAGAAUCUUACCAGAGCUUGACAUGCAGCGGAUCCUCUUGAGGGAGAGGGGUGCCUUAGGGGAACAGCGACACAAGUGGUGCAUGGCUGAUGUCAGCUCAUGCUGUAUGGUGCUGAGUUAAGUCUCGCAACAAACGCAACCCUCGCGUGUAGUUGCCACCAUUGAGUUUGGAACCUUGAGUAGACUAUCGGUGAUAAGCCCGAGGAAGGUGAGGAUGACGUCAAAUCAUCGUGCCCCUUAUGCCCUGGGUGACACACGUGUUACAAUGUUUGGGACAAAGGGUUGCGAUCUCGUGAGGGUGAGCUAACUCCAACAACCCGUCCUCAAUUCGGAUUGCAGGCUUCAACUCACUUGCAUGAAGCCGAAAUUGCUAGUAAUCGUCGGUCAACCAUAUGGCGGUGAAUUCCUUCCCAGGCCUUGUACACACCGCCUGUCACACUAUGGGAGCUAGUUAUGCCCGAAGUUGUUACCUUAACCGCAAAUAGGGGGGUGUCGAAGGCAGGGCUAGUGACUGGAGAGAAGUCGUAACAAGGUAACCGUAUUGGAAGGUGCAGUUG
Molecule: ribosomal RNA, 1327 nt
Filed under: Cephalotus follicularis
Lineage: Eukaryota; Viridiplantae; Streptophyta; Magnoliopsida; Oxalidales; Cephalotaceae
Description: bacterial SSU rRNA
Rfam family: Bacterial small subunit ribosomal RNA (bases 306-1327)
Source: RNAcentral